GAUCGUAGGCUCGAAUGUGGUACCGGUGC
RNAcentral lists this non-coding RNA (29 nucleotides) under Cricetulus griseus (Chinese hamster). The record is from RNAcentral. Lineage: Eukaryota; Metazoa; Chordata; Mammalia; Rodentia; Cricetidae.